GGCGGACGGGUGAGUAACACGUUGGAACCUGCCCAAAGUAGGGAUAAGCCACCGAAAGGUGGUCUAAUACCUUAUAGUAUCCAUCUCGUAUGGAUUAAAGCUUUAUGCGCUUUGGGAGGGGCCUGCGUUUGAUUAGCUAGUUGGUGAGGUAAAAAGCUCACCAAGGCGACGAUCAAUAGCUGGUUUGAGAGGAUGACCAGCCACACUGGGACUGAGAUACGGCCCAGACUCCUACGGGAGGCAGCAGUAAGGAAUCUUCCACAAUGGGGCAACCCUGAUGGAGCAAUACCGCGUGCAGGAUGAAGCGUUUCGGCGUGUAAACUGCUUUUAUCACCGAAGAUUAUGACUGUAGGUGAAGAAUAAGGACCGGCUAACUACGUG
RNAcentral lists this ribosomal RNA (381 nucleotides) under uncultured bacterium. RNAcentral's name for it is "bacterial SSU rRNA". It matches the Rfam family "Bacterial small subunit ribosomal RNA", at positions 97 to 507 of the family's 1533-position model. The record is from RNAcentral.